AACGAACGCUGGCGGCAUGCCUAACACAUGCAAGUCGAACGAAGCCUUCGGGCUUAGUGGCGCACGGGUGCGUAACGCGUGGGAAUCUGCCCUUGGGUUCGGAAUAACAGUUAGAAAUGACUGCUAAUACCGGAUGAUGUCUUCGGACCAAAGAUUUAUCGCCCAAGGAUGAGCCCGCGUAGGAUUAGGUAGUUGGUGGGGUAAUGGCCCACCAAGCCGACGAUCCUUAGCUGGUCUGAGAGGAUGAUCAGCCACACUGGGACUGAGACACGGCCCAGACUCCUACGGGAGGCAGCAGUGGGGAAUAUUGGACAAUGGGCGAAAGCCUGAUCCAGCAAUGCCGCGUGAGUGAUGAAGGCCUUAGGGUUGUAAAGCUCUUUUCCCAGGGAUGAUAAUGACAGUACCUGGAGAAUAAGCUCCGGCUAACUCCGCGCCAGCAGCCGCAGUAA
RNAcentral lists this ribosomal RNA (449 nucleotides) under uncultured bacterium. RNAcentral's name for it is "partial 16S ribosomal RNA". It matches the Rfam family "Bacterial small subunit ribosomal RNA", at positions 29 to 523 of the family's 1533-position model. The record is from RNAcentral.